RNAcentral lists this ribosomal RNA (466 nucleotides) under uncultured bacterium. Its description in RNAcentral is "bacterial SSU rRNA". It matches the Rfam family "Bacterial small subunit ribosomal RNA", at positions 339 to 797 of the family's 1533-position model. The record is from RNAcentral.
UUACGGAAGGCGGCAGUGAGGAAUUUUGGACAAUGGGGGCAACCCUGAUCCAGCCAUGCCGCGUGAGUGAAGAAGGCCUUCGGGUUGUAAAGCUCUUUCAGCCGGGAAGAAAACGCACUCUCUAACAUAGGGUGUGGAUGACGGUACCGGAAGAAGAAGCACCGGCUAACUACGUGCCAGCAGCCGCGGUAAUACGUAGGGUGCGAGCGUUAAUCGGAAUUACUGGGCGUAAAGGGUGCGCAGGCGGUUUUGUAAGACAGAUGUGAAAUCCCCGGGCUUAACCUGGGAACUGCGUUUGUGACUGCAAGGCUAGAGUACGGCAGAGGGGGGUGGAAUUCCGCGUGUAGCAGUGAAAUGCGUAGAUAUGCGGAGGAACACCGAUGGCGAAGGCAACCCCCUGGGCCUGUACUGACGCUCAUGCACGAAAGCGUGGGGAGCAAACAGGAUUAGAAACCCUAGUAGUCCU